UCCUCAGAUACUUUUCUUGUGAGAGUUGAGCCUCUUAAAUCACUAUUCUCAGAGAAUAGAAAAUUCAAAUAUGACAACGGGGUUUAAACUGUCCAUAUCAUUAAGCUUUGAAAAGAUGGCAGGAAUCUAAGAAAAAGAUCCAAAUAUUGAGAAGACGUAUUCCUUUCUUUCCAUGAUAAAAAUCACAGAAAAAAAAAUACUGCAUAGGCAUAGAGUUAAUAAAAGAUUAGGAUCUUGAUCUUUCAAUGAGAAAACCUGAGCUUCUGGACAGUUCUAGGAAAAGCCACUGGAAGCUGUUGUCUUUGUAAUGAAGGGUUCUUCUGCCAGAUAACAUGUGCUGUUGAAAGGCAAGUCUUUGCUGCAUGACUGGUCACUCUAAGCAUGCCUCUGACAAGGACACUUUAGAGGUAGCCACUGUUUCUGAACCAAGCCAGUUUCAAAUACUCUUCCUUGCUCAGCAAUGGACUAUACUUCUUUUUUCACUUUGAGGCCUGUCCCCAAAAGCUGUCUAAUAAGCCUUAUAGCAGAUACCAAAGGCAAUUCAAAUUCACUUUGAAUCAUGCUUCAGGAAUCAGCUGCCGCAGACAGUGGUGCAACGACACAUGCAAAUUUCAAAUAGCUAAGAUACUUUACUGAGGCUUUAAAACAUCAGCUCUAUUUUCAAGUCAAAGAUAAAUGUGUCUACUGCUUUUCUCUGGGGUCAUCACGUUGCUGCACUCAAGGGGAAACUUCCACCAGGUCUGUCCACUCCAUAUUUUUCAUCCUUCUCCCUAUUCAGCAGGAUGCCUGGCAGGUUACUGGAACUGUGCUGGAUAUCAAAGAUAUAAUUUCUGGGGGCACAAGAAGGUCUUUUUAGUCCUUCUAGAAUAACAUGGAAAGAAAAUUCAACAAGUUAUAUGAUGAAGUGUGAUAACUAUUUUGAUAGAGGAAGUAGAAUGCUGUGGGAAUAGAGAAAAGAAUUUCUAAUCUAGACAAGAAAAAAAAAAAAAACAGAGAAUUCUUCCAAAUGAGCAGAAGAGAGCCAGGGAAGGAAGAAAGGGGCAUGUGCAAUUAGUCAACAAAAUCACAGCCCAUAACCUAACUCUGAUUGGUUCACAAAUCAGCCAACUGCUUCUAUUAACUUCUUCCCCCAGAUAUCCACUUGGUUCACUCCUUAAUUUCACUUGGGUCUUUACUCAGAUGUCACCUUUUUACUGAGGUCUUUCCUCACCACCCUAUUUAAAUUACACUACACCUCCAACACUACCAAUUUCUCUCCCCAACAUUCACCUAACUACAUAUUUUGACUGUUGUUUAUUUUUUGUCUAUUUUCUUUCAUACAAAUAGAUGCUCCCUUAGAACAAUUUUUUUCUGUUAUUUUCACUGCUAUAUCUUAAGCAUCUAAGACAGUAUUUGCAACAUAACAGGCUCUUCGUAAAUACAUUUGGGCAGUCCAUAAAUACUUGCUGCCACUAGCUGAUGAAGGAUCCAAAAUGAAUUUGUGGGACAGGGUAUGCUAAUGUUGAUGAUCUCCACCCAAAUCUUCUGAUAGUUACCAGUCUUGAUUUCAGUAAGCAAGACUUGGCAGCAGGAAAUAAUAAUAAUGUUUAAUGUUUAUUGAGUGAUCGUGGUAUGCUAGACCCUGUUAAUAAUCAAAUACAUCACUUCACAGUUUCCUCAAAAUAACUUUGGGAGGUAGGGACUAUUAUUAUCUUCAUUUUACAGAUAAGGAAAUGGAGACACAGAAUGCUAACCAACUUGCUCAAGGCCUCACACACAGACAUUUAGUCACACCUCUGAUAAGUCAGGAGCCAGGAUUUGAGCCCCAAUAAUGGAUCCAGAAGACUAACAAUCUCCAGAAACGGAACCCAUUCUGUACUCUGACAACACCGGACACUGAUGUGAAAGAUUAAAUCUAUGCUGACAAACCAUUCAUGAAAUGAUCUUUAUGGGGAAGGCAUGACAAGAGUCAAAAGGAAGAGUCUUAAGAGAUGAGUCGCUGAACAUCAUACUAUUGUAAGCCUGAAGGGGUGGUUUGGUUUAGGCAGCCCAGUAACCCUGGAAAAGACUUGCAGACAAACUGUUGUCUGUGUACCAAGAUCUUCCUAUCCUAGUGUGGGAACAUUAGUCUCUAUGUGACUCAGCAACUUUUUGCUCCUACUGUGCACUCCACCCUUGUUAUUCCUUCUUGUGAAGAUAUCUUGGGACUUUGCCCAACUGACUCCGUGCUCACACUUCAUUGUUUUGUCCUCUCUUCUUUCUCAUUCAGGAGCUCUCUUGGGAAUAGAAGAUUUCAUGUGGGAUGAAGAGAAACACAAAUAAGAAACAGGACAUCUUUGCUCAAUCAACAUUAGAAACAGAAGCAGUUCGCCAAGUAGCAAGUGAAAGGUGUUAUAAGCAGGCAAGGAACAGUGGGGAUUGAACUUCUGGGGAAUCUCUGGGCUUCCUGAUAUUCUGAGUCCUUGUGAAUUUUCCUUUUUCUCUUUUCUUUUCUUUUUUUUUUUUUUUAAGAUAUAGGGUCUCCCUUUGUCAUCCAGGCUGGAGUGCAGUGGCAAGACCAUAGCUCACUGCAGCCUCAAGCUCCUGUACUCAAGUGAUCCUCCUGCCUCAGCCAAGAAGCUGCGACCACAGGUGUGUGCCACCACACCCAGCUAAUUUUAUUUUAUUUUUUAAUCUUUUUAGACACAGGGUCUUGCUUGGCUGCCCAGGCUGAUCUUGAAUUCCUAGCUUCAAACAAUCCUCCCACCUCAGCCUCCCAAAAUGCUGGGAUUACAGGUAUGAGCCACCACACCCAGCCUAUGAAUUUUUCUUAAGAGAAAAAUUCUACCUCUCAUGGGAUUCUCAAAAGUAUGUGACUCCCAAAAAAAUUAAGAACCACUGUUCUCACAUGAGAAAGAAAAAAAAAACUAACCCGAGAAUUCUGAGAAAUAUGAUAAUCAACCAAUAAAGUGGAAAAUUAGAAAGAUUGGCAGGGAAGUGGAGAGGG
This 2965-nucleotide long non-coding RNA is filed under the name Homo sapiens (human). Its description in RNAcentral is "HSALNT0193024". The record is from RNAcentral. Lineage: Eukaryota; Metazoa; Chordata; Mammalia; Primates; Hominidae.